GGGGAUAUUGCACAAUGGGGGAAACCCUGAUGCAGCGACGCCGCGUGUGGGAAGACGGUCCUCUGGAUUGUAAACCACUGUCCCCAGGGACGAAGAUGACGGUACCUGGGGAGGAAGCUCCGGCUAACUACGUGCCAGCAGCCGCGGUAAUACGUAGGGAGCGAGCGUUGUCCGGAAUUACUGGGUGUAAAGGGAGCGUAGGCGGGACUGCAAGUUGGGUGUCAAAUCUACCGGCUCAACCGGUAGCCGCACUCAAAACUGCAGUUCUUGAGUGAAGUAGAGGCAGGCGGAAUUCCUAGUGUAGCGGUGAAAUGCGUAGAUAUUAGGAGGAACACCAGUGGCGAAGGCGGCCUGCUGGGCUUUUACUGACGCUGAGGCUCGAAAGUGUGGGGAGCAAACAGG
RNAcentral lists this ribosomal RNA (402 nucleotides) under uncultured bacterium. RNAcentral's name for it is "bacterial SSU rRNA". It matches the Rfam family "Bacterial small subunit ribosomal RNA", at positions 357 to 776 of the family's 1533-position model. The record is from RNAcentral.